GGGUUGUGAGGUUAAGCGACUAAGCGUACACGGUGGAUGCCCUGGCAGUCAGAGGCGAUGAAGGACGUGCUAAUCUGCGAUAAGCGUCGGUGAGGUGAUAUGAACCGUUAUAACCGGCGAUUUCCGAAUGGGGAAACCCAGUGUGUUUCGACACACUAUCAUUAACUGAAUCCAUAGGUUAAUGAGGCGAACCGGGGGAACUGAAACAUCUAAGUACCCCGAGGAAAAGAAAUCAACCGAGAUUCCCCCAGUAGCGGCGAGCGAACGGGGAGGAGCCCAGAGCCUGAAUCAGUGUGUGUGUUAGUGGAAGCGUCUGGAAAGGCGCGCGAUACAGGGUGACAGCCCCGUACACAAAAAUGCACAUAUUGUGAGCUCGAUGAGUAGGGCGGGACACGUGGUAUCCUGUCUGAAUAUGGGGGGACCAUCCUCCAAGGCUAAAUACUCCUGACUGACCGAUAGUGAACCAGUACCGUGAGGGAAAGGCGAAAAGAACCCCGGCGAGGGGAGUGAAAAAGAACCUGAAACCGUGUACGUACAAGCAGUGGGAGCCUCUUAAUGGGGUGACUGCGUACCUUUUGUAUAAUGGGUCAGCGACUUAUAUUCUGUAGCAAGGUUAACCGAAUAGGGGAGCCGAAGGGAAACCGAGUCUUAACUGGGCGUUAAGUUGCAGGGUAUAGACCCGAAACCCGGUGAUCUAGCCAUGGGCAGGUUGAAGGUUGGGUAACACUAACUGGAGGACCGAACCGACUAAUGUUGAAAAAUUAGCGGAUGACUUGUGGCUGGGGGUGAAAGGCCAAUCAAACCGGGAGAUAGCUGGUUCUCCCCGAAAGCUAUUUAGGUAGCGCCUCGUGAAUUCAUCUCCGGGGGUAGAGCACUGUUUCGGCAAGGGGGUCAUCCCGACUUACCAACCCGAUGCAAACUGCGAAUACCGGAGAAUGUUAUCACGGGAGACACACGGCGGGUGCUAACGUCCGUCGUGAAGAGGGAAACAACCCAGACCGCCAGCUAAGGUCCCAAAGUCAUGGUUAAGUGGGAAACGAUGUGGGAAGGCCCAGACAGCCAGGAUGUUGGCUUAGAAGCAGCCAUCAUUUAAAGAAAGCGUAAUAGCUCACUGGUCGAGUCGGCCUGCGCGGAAGAUGUAACGGGGCUAAACCAUGCACCGAAGCUGCGGCAGCGACGCUUAUGCGUUGUUGGGUAGGGGAGCGUUCUGUAAGCCUGUGAAGGUGGCCUGUGAGGGUUGCUGGAGGUAUCAGAAGUGCGAAUGCUGACAUAAGUAACGAUAAAGCGGGUGAAAAGCCCGCUCGCCGGAAGACCAAGGGUUCCUGUCCAACGUUAAUCGGGGCAGGGUGAGUCGACCCCUAAGGCGAGGCCGAAAGGCGUAGUCGAUGGGAAACAGGUUAAUAUUCCUGUACUUGGUGUUACUGCGAAGGGGGGACGGAGAAGGCUAUGUUGGCCGGGCGACGGUUGUCCCGGUUUAAGCGUGUAGGCUGGUUUUCCAGGCAAAUCCGGAAAACCAAGGCUGAGGCGUGAUGA
This 1533-nucleotide ribosomal RNA is filed under the name Escherichia coli. RNAcentral's name for it is "partial 23S ribosomal RNA". It matches the Rfam family "Bacterial large subunit ribosomal RNA", at positions 1 to 1569 of the family's 2925-position model. Lineage: Bacteria; Pseudomonadati; Pseudomonadota; Gammaproteobacteria; Enterobacterales; Enterobacteriaceae. The record is from RNAcentral.